CACGUAGGGUGCGAGCGUUGUCCGGAAUUAUUGGGCGUAAAGAGCUCGUAGGCGGUGUGUCGCGUCGGCCGUGAAAACCUGCAGCUUAACUGUGGGCUUGCGGUCGAUACGGGCAUCACUGGAGUUCGGCAGGGGAGACUGGAAUUCAUGGUGUAGCGGUGAAAUGCGCAGAUAUCAGGAGGAACACCGGUGGCGAAGGCGGGUCUCUGGGCCGAUACUGACGCUGAGGAGCGAAAGCGUGGGGAGCGAACAGG
Molecule: ribosomal RNA, 254 nt
Filed under: uncultured bacterium
Lineage: Bacteria
Description: partial 16S ribosomal RNA
Rfam family: Bacterial small subunit ribosomal RNA
Source: RNAcentral